Molecule: ribosomal RNA, 608 nt
Filed under: uncultured bacterium
Lineage: Bacteria
Description: bacterial SSU rRNA
Rfam family: Bacterial small subunit ribosomal RNA (bases 1-518)
Source: RNAcentral
CCUACGGGAGGCAGCAGUAGGGAAUCUUGCGCAAUGGGCGAAAGCCUGACGCAGCCAUGCCGCGUGAAUGAUGAAGGUCUUAGGAUUGUAAAAUUCUUUCACCGGGGACGAUAAUGACGGUACCCGGAGAAGAAGCCCCGGCUAACUUCGUGCCAGCAGCCGCGGUAAUACGAAGGGGGCUAGCGUUGCUCGGAAUUACUGGGCGUAAAGGGAGCGUAGGCGGAUAGUUUAGUCAGAGGUGAAAGCCCAGGGCUCAACCUUGGAAUUGCCUUUGAUACUGGCUAUCUUGAGUAUGGAAGAGGUAUGUGGAACUCCGAGUGUAGAGGUGAAAUUCGUAGAUAUUCGGAAGAACACCAGUGGCGAAGGCGACAUACUGGUCCAUUACUGACGCUGAGGCUCGAAAGCGUGGGGAGCAAACAGGAUUAGAUACCCUGGUAGUCCACGCCGUAAACGAUGAGUGCUAGUUGUCGGCAUGCAUGCAUGUCGGUGACGCAGCUACGACAUAAGUACACUCCGCCGUCGGGGAGGUACGGUCGGCGAGAAGUUAAACGUAACGAAAGAAGUAGUUAGGCGUGNGAGNGCGACGGACGACGACGACGGAGGAGGAG